GUUUGUUGACUAGCUCAGUUGGUUAGAGUGUGGUGCUGAUAACGCCAGGGUUGCAGCUUCAAUCCCCUUUUGGGACA
Non-coding RNA from Podarcis lilfordi (Lilford's wall lizard), 77 nucleotides. NCBI's taxonomy places the organism in Eukaryota, Metazoa, Chordata, Lepidosauria, Squamata, Lacertidae. The record is from the annotation of a GenBank genome assembly.